AUUGAACGCUGGCGGCAGGCCUAACACAUGCAAGUCGAGCGGAUGACGGGAGCUUGCUCCUUGAUUCAGCGGCGGACGGGUGAGUAACGCCUAGGAAUCUGCCUGGUAGUGGGGGACAACGUUUCGAAAGGAACGCUAAUACCGCAUACGUCCUACGGGAGAAAGCAGGGGACCUUCGGGCCUUGCGCUAUCAGAUGAGCCUAGGUCGGAUUAGCUAGUUGGUGGGGUAAUGGCUCACCAAGGCGACGAUCCGUAACUGGUCUGAGAGGAUGAUUAGUCACACUGGAACUGAGACACGGUCCAGACUCCUACGGGAGGCAGCAGUGGGGAAUAUUGGACAAUGGGCGAAAGCCUGAUCCAGCCAUGCCGCGUGUGUGAAGAAGGUCUUCGGAUUGUAAAGCACUUUGAGUUGGGAGGAAGGGCAGUAAGUUAAUACCUUGCUGUUUUGACGUUACCGACAGAAUAAGCACCGGCUAACUCUGUGCCAGCAGCCG
This 494-nucleotide ribosomal RNA is filed under the name uncultured bacterium. RNAcentral describes it as "bacterial SSU rRNA". It matches the Rfam family "Bacterial small subunit ribosomal RNA", at positions 30 to 517 of the family's 1533-position model. The record is from RNAcentral.